GGGAAAGGAGAACAAGGGUGGGUAAGGAAGCCUUUCAUAGGGCAGAGGACCAGAGACCGACCGGGGGCCCCAGGGAGAGGGAAGCAAGCGUGCGAUGGGGAAGCUCAGCGACCUGGCCGCUGUGACAACAGACCAGAAUGUCUGACUGAGCUGGAGCAGAGCAAGGGCCCGCGGGCGCCUUUCCCACCGAGCGGACCAGCCCGCAGCCAAGGGCCCCUUGCUCUCCUCUCUUGCCAGGGUGCCUUUUGUCCCAGCCUUCUCAAGCACUGAAUGAUCACAGCUCCCCAGGCGAGAGUUUCUAAGAAGGAUGUUCAAGAACUACUUGUCCUACCUUCAAUUUGCGGUAUGAAUCAUGUGCAGGGGACGUUCUCUAGAGCAGGGUGAGCACCGAGAGGAAGCCAAGGGGAAUUCCCAAGCACCCUAUCCUUCCCGAGCUCUCGGUUCAGAAACAAUGGCCGGACGUCUGAACCGGGAGCAUCGGGUCAGGAACUGAAGAGGAGGCGACAGGACGCCAGAACCAUGAGGGCAGCCUCUCCGUGGCAUCGGCCCGAGGGCCCAGAGGCGCAGGUCAGCCCGGUGUACAAGCCUUACAGUCCAGACUCAGAAAGAAACCUCAAACCAUACAAGAGCCUCUAAAAAAUAUGUUGGACUCCACUGUAAUGUGUAAUUGCAAAAAAUAUGUAAUAACUCCAUCACAGUCAUUCUACUGGCUUCCCAUAUCAUUCAGAUUAAAAGCUCGAGUCCUUAGAGUCAGUUCUAGCACGUACAUCAUCUACACGAGCCCCCCACUCCAUCCUCCGUCCCCGGGCCUGCCCACCUCGCUGAAGCAUUCGGCUACUUCCCCCAGCCCUGGCUCACUCUGUUUCCACACUAGUUCCCUCACGGGCCUCAAUACACAAAGCAGACUCUGCCCCAGGACCUUUGUACAAGCAGCUUCCUUUAUAACUAAAUGGCUAUAUCACCUUCUUCAGUCUCUGUGCAAAUGCUGACUUGUCUGUGACUUUCCCUGGAAGUCUUAUGCAAAUCACCCUUUUUCCUGAUCUCAGGUUUCCGUUUACCUUGAUUUUUUAUCUCCAUAGCAGUUACCAUCUAACAUAAGUGUUUACUUUCUGUCUCCCUUCUCUAGAAUGACAUGAUGGCAGAACUGUGUCGAUUGAGGUUACUAUUUAAUCUCCAGUGAGAUUAAAUACUAAAUUAAAAAACUGUAACGUUUUUCUGGAGCAUACAUGGACUCAACAAAUAUUUACAGAAUGAAUAUGUAACCUGAGGACUCUCUCUAACAAAUUUGCAAUGAGUCGGGAAGUAUUACAACAGUCGGGAAUUCCUUAUUAUUCAACACAACUAAGGCGUGAAGACAACAGGUCCUGUCCCCAACUUCUAAAACUAGAUGUGGGCCCACUGAUGGGCCCCUCGCAAUAAACCUCGGAGUUAGGUUUUGCUAUUAACAUGUCUUUUUUUCACUAAUGAACUGAAAGAAUAAACAAAGACAUGUGAAGCAACCCACCC
This is a long non-coding RNA of Manis pentadactyla (Chinese pangolin), 1506 nucleotides long. RefSeq lists it as uncharacterized. The record is from RefSeq and is a predicted model, not a curated record. Lineage: Eukaryota; Metazoa; Chordata; Mammalia; Pholidota; Manidae. The transcript is spliced from 3 exons.